This 445-nucleotide ribosomal RNA is filed under the name uncultured bacterium. RNAcentral's name for it is "partial 16S ribosomal RNA". It matches the Rfam family "Bacterial small subunit ribosomal RNA", at positions 354 to 796 of the family's 1533-position model. The record is from RNAcentral.
GUGAGGAAUAUUGGUCAAUGGGCGGGAGCCUGAACCAGCCAAGUCGCGUGAAGGAAGAAGGAUCUAUGGUUCGUAAACUUCUUUUGCAGGGGAAUAAAGUGCAGGACGUGUCCUGUUUUGUAUGUACCCUGAGAAUAAGGAUCGGCUAACUCCGUGCCAGCAGCCGCGGUAAUACGGAGGAUCCGAGCGUUAUCCGGAUUUAUUGGGUUUAAAGGGUGCGUAGGUGGUUUGAUAAGUCAGCGGUGAAAGUUUGCAGCUUAACUGUAAAAAUGCCGUUGAAACUGUCGGACUUGAGUGUAAAUGAGGUAGGCGGAAUGCGUGGUGUAGCGGUGAAAUGCAUAGAUAUCACGCAGAACUCCGAUUGCGAAGGCAGCUUACUAGGCUACAACUGACACUGAAGCACGAAAGCGUGGGGAUCAAACAGGAUUAGAAACCCGAGUAGUCC